GAUGAACGCUGGCGGCGUGCCUAAUACAUGCAAGUCGAGCGAACGGACGAGAAGCUUGCUUCUCUGAUGUUAGCGGCGGACGGGUGAGUAACACGUGGAUAACCUACCUAUAAGACUGGGAUAACUUCGGGAAACCGGAGCUCAUACCGGAUAAUAUUUUGAACCGCAUGGUUCAAAAGUGAAAGACGUUCUUGCUGUCCCUUUUAGAUGGAUCCGCGCUGCAUUAGCUAGUUGGUAAGGUAACGGCUUACCAAGGCAACGAUGCAUAGCCGACCUGAGAGGGUGAUCGGCCACACUGGAACUGAGACACGGUCCAGACUCCUACGGGAGGCAGCAGUAGGGAAUCUUCCGCAAUGGGCGAAAGCCUGACGGAGCAACGCCGCGUGAGUGAUGAAGGUCUUCGGAUCGUAAAACUCUGUUAUUAGGGAAGAACAUAUGUGUAAGUAACUGUGCACAUCUUGACGGUACCUAAUCAGAAAGCCACGGCUAACUACGUG
RNAcentral lists this ribosomal RNA (497 nucleotides) under uncultured bacterium. RNAcentral describes it as "partial 16S ribosomal RNA". It matches the Rfam family "Bacterial small subunit ribosomal RNA", at positions 28 to 507 of the family's 1533-position model. The record is from RNAcentral.